RNAcentral lists this ribosomal RNA (253 nucleotides) under uncultured bacterium. Its description in RNAcentral is "partial 16S ribosomal RNA". It matches the Rfam family "Bacterial small subunit ribosomal RNA", at positions 524 to 776 of the family's 1533-position model. The record is from RNAcentral.
UACAGAGGGGGCAAGCGUUAUUCGGAAUUAUUGGGCGUAAAGGGCGCGUAGGCGGCUUUGCAAGUGACGGGUGAAAUCCCUCGGCUUAACCGAGGAACUGCCUGUCAAACUGCAUGGCUUGAGACCGGGAGAGGUGAGUGGAAUUCCCAGUGUAGCGGUGAAAUGCGUAGAUAUUCGCAAGAACACCAGUGGCGAAGGCGGCUCACUGGCCCGGUACUGACGCUGAGGUGCGAAAGCGUGGGGAGCAAACAGG